AAAGAAUGACCCUAGAAGACUCAAAAAUUAAGUGGAAGAGUGAGACACUAUUUGGACAACACUUUUGUAAAUGAUAUUACGUUGCUACCCUUAUUUAUUUAUUUUAUUUUUCAUAUUCUCUCUCUCCUCAUCCUUCUUCUCCGAUCAAAUUUUGUUUCAGGAAACUAAAAUUUUCUCACAAAAUUCAUCAAAUUGUGAGAUUUCAAAUUUCAAUAAAAUUGUUUCAUUUAUUUGUGACAGUAAAUGCAACCAUGGUUUUGAGAGGGUUAUGAUUUUGAUCGUGAAUCGUGGUGAUGUGGUGGCUCUUAUUUUGAUUCAGUGCCGGCUGUAGCGGUGGUGAUUGUAAGUGGUGGUUAUUCCUAUUUAAAAUAAUGGGGUUUUUAACGAUGGUGUAGAUAGUAUUUACAAUGAUAGUGGUGAUGAUUAUAUUAUCGGUGGUGGUGAGUUUGAGAAAAAAGAAGGUGACAUGAAUGGAAUCGUAGAUUGAGAUGGCGUCAGAAUGGUGCGGUAAGCUAAACGAUUUUAUGGUGAUGGUGUCGGAGAAGGUGCGAGGGCUAAAGAGUUUUAUAAGUGUCGCCGUCUUCUCCGUCUAUCUCGUUGGUGAGCAGAUCUAGAACAAAAUUUGUUAUUUUUCAUUGCUAGAUAUUUUUAUUAUUAUCAUAUUAACCUUGUUAUUGAUUAUUAUUGGUGAAUAUUAUGUAUAAGUUACACGUUAAUAUAAAUAUUAUGCAUAUAUCGACUAUCUUACCGUGUUCAUACA
RNAcentral lists this long non-coding RNA (760 nucleotides) under Arabidopsis lyrata. RNAcentral describes it as "long non-coding RNA (ALYR_LNC001787)". The record is from RNAcentral. Lineage: Eukaryota; Viridiplantae; Streptophyta; Magnoliopsida; Brassicales; Brassicaceae.